CUUUUCUCUCUCACUCGACACUCUCUCUCCCCCUCUGUUCAAACGAAGACAGAAGAUGGAAGACAGAAGCAGCAGCCGCACGAAGACAGGAGUAGCUUGCUGUCGCCGCCCGCGCUCCGCCACCCGCGCUUCACUCGUGCACCCGCCACUCACCCCUCGCCUCUGCCUCUCCCUCACCCCUUUCGGCUACCGUCGAAGCUCUCCUUCUCCUCCUUUCUGUUUCGUGUGAAGCCUCGACGGAAGCAGAAACAGAAACAGCAGCCGACACUACCUGGAGCCGAAGCUUUCAUUGUCGCCAGUCGCCCUUCCUCGCGCGCGCACGCGUGCAGCCGUGCGACCGCCUGCCCUCUCCACCGUCCAGGCGUCCUCACCGUGCGACCCCAGCUCUUGUUCCGCCCCUGUCCAGCCUUGUCCGGCCACCUCCGACCAUUGUUCAGCCCCGCUGAACCACCACCUACCUUCCCCCGUGCCAAAAGAGGUGUCAGCCACAAGUUUGAUAUUUUCUAUGCACUCAUGAAUGCGGUGUAUAAAAUGGUCUUGCAAUCCAAUGCUCAUUCACGUACAUCGAACUUCUGUAGUAAAAAAUGUUCUCUUGUUGGUCAACUAUUAGAGGGG
RNAcentral lists this long non-coding RNA (615 nucleotides) under Eucalyptus grandis. Its description in RNAcentral is "long non-coding RNA (EGRA_LNC000673)". The record is from RNAcentral. Lineage: Eukaryota; Viridiplantae; Streptophyta; Magnoliopsida; Myrtales; Myrtaceae.